AGAGUUUGAUUCUGGCUCAGAAUCAACGCUGGCGGCGCGCUUAACACAUGCAAGUCGAACGAGAAAGUCGCCCUUCGGGCGAUGAGUAAAGUGGCGGACGGGUGAGUAACACGUGGAUAACCUGCCCCUUUAGUGGGGAAUAACUCCGGGAAACUGGAGCUAAUACCGCAUAAGAUCCUUGGAUCUCAAGUUUCGAGGAUGAAAGCCUUAGGGCGCUGAAGGAGGGGUCCGCGGCCGAUUAGCUAGUUGGUAGGGUAAUGGCCUACCAAGGCUUCGAUCGGUAGCCGGCCUGAGAGGGCACACGGCCACACUGGCACUGAGACACGGGCCAGACUCCUACGGGAGGCAGCAGUGGGGAAUCUUGGACAAUGGGGGAAACCCUGAUCCAGCGACGCCGCGUGACUGAUGAAGCCUUUCGGGGUGUAAAGGUCUUUCAGUGGGGACAAUCAUGAUGGUACCCACAGAAGCAGCUGCGGCUAACUACGUGCCAGCAGCCGCGGUAAUACGUAGGCAGCAAGCGUUGUUCGGAAUUACUGGGCGUAAAGCGAGUGUAGGCGGUUUGCCGUGUCUGCCGUGAAAUCUCCCGGCUCAACUGGGAGGGUGCGGCGGAAACUGGCAGGCUAGAGUGCGGAAGAGGAAAGUGGAAUUCCUGGUGUAGCGGUGAAAUGCGUAGAUAUCAGGAGGAACACCGGUGGUGAAGACGGCUUUCUGGACCGCCACUGACGCUGAGACUCGAAAGCGUGGGGAGCAAACAGGAUUAGAUACCCUGGUAGUCCACGCCCUAAACGAUGCAUACUUGGUGUGGGUUCUUCACUGGAUCCGUGCCGGAGCUAACGCGUUAAGUAUGCCGCCUGGGGAGUACGGUCGCAAGGCUGAAACUCAAAUGAAUUGACGGGG
Molecule: ribosomal RNA, 897 nt
Filed under: uncultured Acidobacteriota bacterium
Lineage: Bacteria; Pseudomonadati; Acidobacteriota
Description: bacterial SSU rRNA
Rfam family: Bacterial small subunit ribosomal RNA
Source: RNAcentral